CUCUGAUGUCCCCAAGGCUGUCCCAUUGCACUCUGAUGUCCCCAAGGCUGUCCCAUUGCACUCUGAUGUCCCCAAGGCUGUCCCAUUGCACUCUGAUUUCCCCAAGGCUGUCCCAUUGCACUCUGAUUUCCCCAAGGCUGUCCCAUUGCACUCUGAUUUCCCCAAGGCUGUCCCAUUGCACUCUGAUGUCCCCAAGGCUGUCCCAUUGCACUCUGAUUUCCCCAAGGCUGUCCCAUUGCACUCUGAUUUCCCCAAGGCUGUCCCAUUGAACUCUGAUUUCCCUAAGGCUGUCCCAUUGCACUCUGAUUUCCCUAAGGCUGUCCCAUUGCACUCUGAUUUCCCCAAGGCUGUCCCAUUGCACUCUGAUUUCCCUAAGGCUGUCCCAUUGCACUCUGAUGUCCCCAAGGCUGUCCCAUUGCACUCUGAUUUCCCCAAGGC
Long non-coding RNA from Oncorhynchus tshawytscha (Chinook salmon), 438 nucleotides. Lineage: Eukaryota; Metazoa; Chordata; Actinopteri; Salmoniformes; Salmonidae. The record is from Ensembl.